Molecule: ribosomal RNA, 460 nt
Filed under: uncultured bacterium
Lineage: Bacteria
Description: partial 16S ribosomal RNA
Rfam family: Bacterial small subunit ribosomal RNA
Source: RNAcentral
CCUACGGGCGGCUGCAGUGAGGAAUAUUGGUCAAUGGACGAGAGUCUGAACCAGCCAAGUAGCGUGAAGGAUGACUGCCCUAUGGGUUGUAAACUUCUUUUAUAAAGGAAUAAAACGAGGCACGUGUGCCUUUUUGCAUGUACUUUAUGAAUAAGGAUCGGCUAACUCCGUGCCAGCAGCCGCGGUAAUACGGUGGAUCCGAGCGUUAUCCGGAUUUAUUGGGUUUAAAGGGAGCGUAGAUGGGUUGUUAAGUCAGUUGUGAAAGGUUGCGGCUCAACCGUAAAAUUGCAAUUGAUACUGGCAGUCUUGAGUACAGUUGAGGUAGGCGGAAUUCGUGGUGUAGCGGUGAAAUGCUUAGAUAUCACGAAGAACCCCGAUUGCGAAGGCAGCUUACUAAACUGUGACUGACAUUGAUGCUCGAAAGUGUGGGUAUCAAACAGGAUUAGAUACCCUUGUAGUC